Molecule: unclassified non-coding RNA, 345 nt
Filed under: Hevea brasiliensis (rubber tree)
Lineage: Eukaryota; Viridiplantae; Streptophyta; Magnoliopsida; Malpighiales; Euphorbiaceae
Source: RNAcentral
UGAUGUUCUCAGCAUGGUUAUUAAGGUUGAGAAGUGAAGACCUCAGAGUCCCAUUAGCAUCCACUCUCUCACUAUGACUAUCACAACUGGCAUCUCUUCUAAGAUUAGAUCCAAAAUCUAGCAUUGCUUCUUCACUUAAACCAUUCUGACCAGCAAAAUUCUCUCUGGGCUCAAGCCUUUGAAUUCCAUCCCAGUCCGCAAAUUUACAACCUACAAGAUCAUCCUUGCAAAGAAUAACAGCUGUAGAAGUUAACAAGCACAUGCCCUUUGCACAUGUAUAAGCAUCUGCGAACCUAUUUACCAGCUUCUCACUUACACCUCCAAAUGAACAACAGCAAGCUCCAA